RNAcentral lists this transfer RNA (77 nucleotides) under Elusimicrobiales bacterium. Its description in RNAcentral is "tRNA-Pro". It matches the Rfam family "tRNA". From Rfam's summary of the family: Transfer RNA (tRNA) molecules are approximately 80 nucleotides in length. Their secondary structure includes four short double-helical elements and three loops (D, anti-codon, and T loops). Further hydrogen bonds mediate the characteristic L-shaped molecular structure. tRNAs have two regions of fundamental functional importance: the anti-codon, which is responsible for specific mRNA codon recognition, and the 3' end, to which the tRNAs corresponding amino acid is attached (by aminoacyl-tRNA synthetases). tRNAs cope with the degeneracy of the genetic code in two manners: having more than one tRNA (with a specific anti-codon) for a particular amino acid; and 'wobble' base-pairing, i.e. permitting non-standard base-pairing at the 3rd anti-codon position. Lineage: Bacteria; Pseudomonadati; Elusimicrobiota; Elusimicrobia; Elusimicrobiales. The record is from RNAcentral.
CGGGGCGUAGCUCAGCUGGCUAAAGCGCUCGGUUCGGGACCGAGAGACCGGCGGUUCAAAUCCGCCCGCCCCGACCA